UACGUAGGGUGCGAGCGUUAAUCGGAAUUACUGGGCGUAAAGCGUGCGCAGGCGGUUCUGAAAGUCAGCUGUGAAAGCCCCGGGCUUAACCUGGGAAUUGCGGUUGAAACUACAGGGCUAGAAUCUGGCAGAGGGGGGUGGAAUUCCACGUGUAGCAGUGAAAUGCGUAGAGAUGUGGAGGAACACCGAUGGCGAAGGCAGCCCCCUGGGCUGAGAUUGACGCUCAGGCACGAAGGCGUGGGGAGCAAACAGGG
Molecule: ribosomal RNA, 254 nt
Filed under: uncultured bacterium
Lineage: Bacteria
Description: partial 16S ribosomal RNA
Rfam family: Bacterial small subunit ribosomal RNA
Source: RNAcentral